CCUACGGGGGGCUGCAGUGGGGAAUAUUGGACAAUGGGGGCAACCCUGAUCCAGCCAUGCCGCGUGUGUGAAGAAGGCCCUCGGGUGGUAAAGCACUUUCAGUGAGGAAGAACGCCUGGUGGUUAAUACCCAUCAGGAAAGACAUCACUCACAGAAGAAGCACCGGCUAACUCCGUGCCAACAGCCGCGGUAAUACGGAGGGUGCGAGCGUUAAUCGGAAUUACUGGGCGUAAAGCGCGCGUAGGUGGCUUGAUAAGCCGGUUGUGAAAGCCCCGGGCUCAACCUGGGAACGGCAUCCGGAACUGUCAAGCUAGAGUGCAGGAGAGGAAGGUAGAAUUCCCGGUGUAGCGGUGAAAUGCGUAGAGAUCGGGAGGAAUACCAGUGGCGAAGGCGGCCUUCUGGACUGACACUGACACUGAGGUGCGAAAGCGUGGGUAGCAAACAGGAUUAGAUACCCCGGUAGUC
RNAcentral lists this ribosomal RNA (465 nucleotides) under Vreelandella stevensii. Its description in RNAcentral is "partial 16S ribosomal RNA". It matches the Rfam family "Bacterial small subunit ribosomal RNA", at positions 338 to 795 of the family's 1533-position model. Lineage: Bacteria; Pseudomonadati; Pseudomonadota; Gammaproteobacteria; Oceanospirillales; Halomonadaceae. The record is from RNAcentral.